Molecule: ribosomal RNA, 466 nt
Filed under: uncultured bacterium
Lineage: Bacteria
Description: bacterial SSU rRNA
Rfam family: Bacterial small subunit ribosomal RNA
Source: RNAcentral
UGAGGAAUAUUGGACAAUGGGCGCAAGCCUGAUCCAGCCAUGCCGCGUGCAGGAUGACGGUCCUAUGGAUUGUAAACUGCUUUUGUACAGGAAGAAACAGUUCUACGUGUAGAACCUUGACGGUACUGUAAGAAUAAGGAUCGGCUAACUCCGUGCCAGCAGCCGCGGUAAUACGGAGGAUCCAAGCGUUAUCCGGAAUCAUUGGGUUUAAAGGUCCGUAGGCGGUUAGAUAAGUCAGUGGUGAAAGCCCAUCGCUCAACGGUGGAACGGCCAUUGAUACUGUCUGACUUGAAUUAUUAGGAAGUAACUAGAAUAUGUAGUGUAGCGGUGAAAUGCUUAGAGAUUACAUGGAAUACCAAUUGCGAAGGCAGGUUACUACUAAUGGAUUGACGCUGAUGGACGAAAGCGUGGGUAGCGAACAGGAUUAGAUACCCACGUAGUCCCUGAGCGGGCUGGCAAGGCGCAU